GGCAAGAAUCCUGGAGAGAUCUGGGAGUGCUCGAAAGAGAGCUUGCACACAGGUGCUGCAUGGCCGUCGUCAGCUCGUGUCGUGAGAUGUUGGGUUAAGUCCCGCAACGAGCGCAACCCUUGUCAUCAGUUGCUACGAAAGGGCACUCUGAUGAGACUGCCGGUGACAAACCGGAGGAAGGUGGGGAUGACGUCAGGUCCUCAUGGCCCUUAUGGGUAGGGCUACACACGUCAUACAAUGGCCGGUACAGAGGGCUGCCAACCCGCGAGGGGGAGCCAAUCCCAGAAAACCGGUCGUAGUCCGGAUCGUAGUCUGCAACUCGACUGCGUGAAGUCGGAAUCGCUAGUAAUCGCGGAUCAGCUUGCCGCGGUGAAUACGUUCCCGGGUCUUGUACACACCGCCCGUCACACCAUGGGAGCGGGUUCUGCCAGAAGUAGUUAGCCUAACCGCAAGGAGGGCGAGUUACCACGGCAGGGUUCGUGACUGGGGUG
RNAcentral lists this ribosomal RNA (491 nucleotides) under uncultured bacterium. Its description in RNAcentral is "bacterial SSU rRNA". It matches the Rfam family "Bacterial small subunit ribosomal RNA", at positions 988 to 1482 of the family's 1533-position model. The record is from RNAcentral.